AAAGGAAUUGACGGGGACCCGCACAAGCGGUGGAGCAUGUGGUUUAAUUCGAAGCAACGCGAAGAACCUUACCAAAUCUUGACAUCCUUUGACCGCUCUAGAGAUAGAGUUUUCCCCUUCGGGGGACAAAGUGACAGGUGGUGCAUGGUUGUCGUCAGCUCGUGUCGUGAGAUGUUGGGUUAAGUCCCGCAACGAGCGCAACCCUUAAGCUUAGUUGCCAUCAUUAAGUUGGGCACUCUAAGUUGACUGCCGGUGACAAACCGGAGGAAGGUGGGGAUGACGUCAAAUCAUCAUGCCCCUUAUGAUUUGGGCUACACACGUGCUACAAUGGACAAUACAAAGGGCAGCUAAACCGCGAGGUCAAGCAAAUCCCAUAAAGUUGUUCUCAGUUCGGAUUGUAGUCUGCAACUCGACUACAUGAAGCUGGAAUCGCUAGUAAUCGUAGAUCAGCAUGCUACGGUGAAUACGUUCCCGGGUCUUGUACACACCGCCCGUCACACCACGAGAGUUUGUAACACCCGAAGCCGGUGGAGUAACCAUUUAUGGAGCUAGCCGUCGAAGGUGGGACAAA
Molecule: ribosomal RNA, 571 nt
Filed under: Staphylococcus pasteuri
Lineage: Bacteria; Bacillati; Bacillota; Bacilli; Caryophanales; Staphylococcaceae
Description: bacterial SSU rRNA
Rfam family: Bacterial small subunit ribosomal RNA
Source: RNAcentral